Canis lupus familiaris (dog) is the source of this 729-nucleotide long non-coding RNA. RefSeq lists it as uncharacterized. The record is from RefSeq and is a predicted model, not a curated record. Lineage: Eukaryota; Metazoa; Chordata; Mammalia; Carnivora; Canidae. The transcript has 2 exons.
GGAUAACCACACAGCCAAAGUCAUCCCCAGGCCGCUAGCUACUCCGAGGCCACAAGGUCCCUCAGGGCAGUGCGUAGGGUGGGAAUCUCAAGAGAACAAAUAGGAAAUUCUAGAACCUGACCCCCCACCCCAUCCCCAGCAAGAGCACUAGUCAGAAGGACCAGAAGGGCUGAAUGAAAGGGUCUUUGAAUGCCAGGAAAUGGCCUGUCCACAUGCCACUGUGGCCUCUCCAGGGCUCACUGAGGUCCGGGGCCAGGGCUGCUAGGCCAGGGACUGUAGGAGCCUAUCGAUGCUCAGGCGAGAAGUCACAGAUGUGGGCCUCGGUUUAGGUGGAUGGGCACAGCUUCUUGAGGUUCUACAGAAAAUACCAGAGCUCUGAGCAGUCAUGCCUCACGUGGUCAGUCCCUGUGGUCGGGACUCAAUGGACAGACAGGAUGACGAUGCUCACCAGGACAACAGGUGCAUGAUGAUGAAGUCGAGCCCAUGGCCUCGGCAGCUGGCUGUUCUAAGACCACCUGCUUCACCAUACACGUCUUAACCAUCCUGGUGUGACUCCAGCGCGCAGAGCCGGAGACCAGCUGAGUGGGGGGCCUGCAGACGCCGCCUCCCAGCAUUCUGAAAAUCUCUGGCAGGAGUGGGGAGUCUGGUGUCUCUACAAUCCUCUCCCCUUGCCAAAUCCACCAGGUCCUGGGGCAAUUCCAUUUGAGUAAAAAUUUGGACUUCCUCUAC